AAAUGGGAAGAUAAUCAUAAAGAUUCUGCCUACCUUCUCCCCAAGUUUAAAUGCUGGUAGACCCUUGUAUGGGCACGUACUGCACCGAAAAGCAUCUCCCAGUCCACACUGCAAGUUGUAUUAACGUUAACAUGCAGAACAGAGGUACAUCAUUCAUGGAAGAAUGUCCAUAAAAACACAAGGAUAACCAACACUUGAUGCCAUUUCAUAAAUCAUAAAGCAAAAGACUAUCCAUAAACAAAAAACUGCACUCGAUGAUAACUAUGAUUCCAUUUAUUUUUUUCUUACGUUGCCACAUGCAGAUUGAGGAUUUUCCAACAAAUCUGAAGUCAAUCCCAGUUUCUCUACUUUCUCCUCUGCUUCGGCCCUACCACAAGUGCAGUUCUUGCAAGCUUUCCUUGUGCUGCUAACUUCACAAUCACCAACUGUGCAACAAAUUAAAUAAUACACCGUAAUCAAUACCCACUAAAUAAAAUCACAGUUAAAUUACUAGUUUAAUCUCUACUUUCAAAGUGUCUAUUAGAUGCAAAAGUCUGAAAUUUCAAUCUUGUGUCUAAUAAAGUUUCUAAUAUUUCCAAUUUUAUAUGUAAUAAAUCUCUAAUAUAUUAAAAAGAAAAAUUUAAAACUAAUAGAUGAUUGAUCUUUUAGGUUAAAAAAUGAGUUUUAUGUUUAGUACAACUCUAAAGUUACAAUUUAAACAUAUGUGAUUUUUUAAGAAAAAAUAUGUCUAGGACCUAUUUGAUACAAAACUAAAAUUGGAGAUCCUAUUGGGGAAAUAAAGUUGAAGUUUAAGAUCUAUGAGAUAAUGGAACUUUAUGGACAAAAUAAAAAGUUUAAAAAUCUGUUAGGUGAUUUUUAAAGUUCAAGGACCUAUUGGCACAAAAUGAAAGCACAGACCUACGAGAUAUUUUUAAGAGUUCAAUGAUCGAAUUGACAGACCUGAAAGUUAAGCAAAUAACCUUGAACUUACCCAAAUUUAAUAUAUAAUAUAUGUCAAGCCUUUCAUUGUUUACCUGGUAGCUGAGGUUUCUUCAAAUCCUCCGCAGUCAAUAAACUAUCUUCAUCGAUCAAAUCAGAAUCAUCAUCAAGCUGAAUCUUUGGUAGAAUUUUUGCAGGCUUCUUAAUAGCAAAAGAGGAGCCAAUUUUCCAAGAAGGUCUUUUGGCUCUUAUCUAUGUACAAAAAAGGAACACAACGAUUAUAAAAUGUUACAAGAAGUCAAAACAGAAAUAAACAAUGAAUUUGGGAGAACAGAUGAAAGUGAAAGUUGCACAAUUAGAAAACAGAUGCAAACACUCGGUCCAACUGAGAAAUCACAUAAAAAAAUAAACAGUCAUAAUUAGAUUUAAUAAAAAGAAUGAGAGAGAGAGAGAGAGAGAGAGCUCCCUUGCCGCCGUCCUUCGUGUUGAUGGCCUCCGACUAUUCCUUUCCCUGCAACCUCCCGUCCUCACUGCUCUACCUACUUCCUCCGCUUCUCUCUCCAUCCCCUACUGGUUCUACCCUCUCCGAUCAUCUCUCCACUGAACGACUAUGGGGACAUCAAAACGGACUUCGAUAAAAAUCGAAAACAAAGUCUUCUCUUGUGAGUUUGAUUCGAACAGCAGAGGAAGGGUGAUUCGCCUAACUGAAGCUCAUUUGAACAAGUCUUAUACCCUUUUAGGAGAGGAAACUCUUUUUGUUUGGCUGGUUGACUCCUUGGAGGAAGUUCUACAGACCCCGAAGUCCCAAAAUUUUUUUAGAAAGACAUUCUGUAAUGGAGGGUUCACCUGGAUUCAAAAAACGACAAACAAGAGAGGAAGCUUUUUGGAGAUUUCGAAGGUGCUGAAGUCGGGGAAAAAAGGAAACAUAGUGGUCCCAGCUGGUGUUGAUUUAAAAGGCUGGGAAAGUUUUAGGUGCUUAUUGCUCGACUUUUUGAAUGCUGAAGUCAACUCUAGGGCCUUUCAUUCUGAGAAGAAAUUAACCCAUAAGCCUUCUUUUGGAAUCAGACCGGAAACUCAUUAUCAGCUUCGUCAUCCUUUGCGAAUCUCUAACCAUGGAAAGCAUCCAAGUGUAAUUCUCAGUCAAGAGGAAGGCAGAAGCAAAGGAGAAAAAAGAGUUAGAAAGAUUUGCUGGGAGGAUACACCGGUGGUCACUAAGCGCGAUUUCCACGAUGACUGGCAGAGGAUUUUGGAUGUCCUUCAGACUCAAACACAAAAAACCUUUAUUAUCAAUCCGUUCCACGCUGACAAAGCUUUGCUCAAAUGCCCUGAUCAGACGAUAGCUAGACUUCUCACGAUGAACAAGGGCUGGGCUACCUAUGGCCCUUUAACCUUGAAAAUGGAAAUGUGGGAUCCAAAAAAACAUGGGAGAAUGUCGCUUGUUCCAUCUUAUGGAGGAUGGAUUAAACUAAGAAAUUUUCCCCUGCAUCUAUGGAACGAGGAGGUGUUUAAGAGGGUUGGUGAUAAGCUUGGAGGCUUCAUUGAGUUUGCGGAAGAAAAUUCGAGCCUCAUUAACUGCUUGGAAGUGAAUAUCAAAGUUAGAGGGAAUUAUUGCGGCUUCAUUCCGACAGAUUUUGAGCUGAUAGAAGGAUCCGAUUCUUAUCUUGUGCAGGUGGCUUCCUUCCAAGAUCCCAAUCUUCUUAUUGAUAAAGUUGUCGGAAUCUAUGGAUCCUUCUCGCCGGAACAAGCUGAGAAUUUUUUCAAAGGUUCGGGCGGCCCGGAUCCAAACCCGAUUGAUAUUUGGCGUGUGGAGAGGCCGAACUCAAGGUUGGCAGUUUUCGCUUUUCAGAACUCUGAGAUGGUGAGUAUGGCGACAGAAGAAGCUGAAAAUAUCUGUCCUUCUCUGCAAACUGACGGAGACAUUAGAGGAACUAAUUCAAAUUUACCGCCCAAGCAAACCCUAAUGGAUUUGACUAAUAAAUUGGGCUUGACCAAUGAAAUGGGACUCACUACGGAUGUGGGCUUCCCUGAUUUAAAAGGGAAAGGUAUAGCAGUGGAUGAAGUAUUUACUCAAAAGCCCACCAACAUUAAAAAGCAAACUGGGCUUUUUAUUAGAGAAAAUUCCCAAGCUACCCGUGCCAACCAACCCCUUUUACUAAAAUUACCCAAGCCCACCAAAAUUAAGUUCGCAGAAAAGGAAGAAAUUCGACCUUUCUUUAAAAACAGUGUGAUUUGCUCCACAAACCAACCUGGAGGCUCUUCAACUUCAACGUCCAUAUCAGACCGCAUUCAUGGAGAAAUAGAUCCAACUUCGGACGUUUCUAUUUCUAGCUCAGGCAGCCUCAUCUCUGAAAACAAAUUUGCUCCUCUUGAAGCUGAAGACGUGCAGCACAUCUCGGAUUUUUCCUCCGACGUCCAAAGACUCUUCCACGAGGUAAGCACCACGGAAAGAGGUAGGGAAGAGGGUCUCCAGCUAAUAGCUGUUGAGGAUACCAGCGAGUUUCCUCUAUCCAAUGAAGAGUUAUAUGAAAUUGAAAGCGUAACCGAGUUAGAACCAGCAGCCUCUAUACAGAAUCCUUUUCCAUUGAGUAAGGAGGUGGUAGCUGCUCUACUUGAAUAUGAUUUAUGCAUUCGGGCUGUAACUAGAAAAGGGAAACAACAUAGGAAGGGUGGGGCCUCCUUGAACAACAACAAAAAGCUUACCAAAGAAGUUAAAGCACUGCUAGGUAGCUGGGAAAGGGAAGCCCAAGCGGCAAAAGAUAAUAAUAAUCCGGGCUUCGAGGGUGAUCCAUGUUAAUUAUCUCUUGGAAUGUAAGGGGUAUUAAUGCUCGCCCCAAAAGAGCGGUUGUGAAAGAGCUGCUUGUGAAAUUCAAUCCUGAUGUGGUAAUUCUACAAGAAACUAAAGUAAGCAUUGUCGAUCGACAGUUGGUGAAGUCUGUUUUGAGUAGUCGGCUUGUUGGCUGGGCUUCCUUAGAGGCUUAUGGUUCGUCGGGUGGUAUUCUUAUCUUGUGGAAAGAGGACUCAAUCACGGUGGAUGACUCAAUUCAAGGGAAGUUCUCUGUUUCUAUUCAUUGUAAACUUAAUGCUGGUUUCUGUGGAUGGAUAACAGGUGUUUACGACCCCUCUUCUUAUAGACUUAGAGACCAAUUCUGGAUGGAGCUUUCUAGCUUAUAUGGCUUGUGCAACGAUAACUGGUGUGUAGAGGGUGACUUCAAUGUAGUCAGAUGGUUAAAUGAGAAGAGCUCUGGCACUCGUCCGACUAGAAGUAUGCUUCGCUUUAACAGCCUGAUUGAGGACUUGGAUCUGGUGGAUAUUCCCUUCCGAAAUGGUAGGUUCUCUUGGUCCCGAUCAGGGAUUAGGCCUGCUGCUUCAAAGCUCGAUAGAUUCCUUCUAUCCAAGCCUUGGAUGGAGUUCUUUAGAGAAGUAAGUGUGGAAAGACUUCCUCGUACCACAUCGGAUCACUUUCCGAUUCUUUUAAAAAUGGGGGCUCAUUCCUGGGGUCCCACACCCUUUAGAUUUGAAAAUGCUUGGCUGGAUCAUCAUCUUUUCUUAAAAAAUGUUGAGAACUGGUGGGGCAGUUUGGAUGUUGAUGGCUGGCCUAUAUUCUCUUUCAUGGAAAAGUUAAAAGGACUGAAAGCCAUCCUAAAGAGUUGGAACAAGGAAACUUUUGGUAACAUUUUCUCCCAAAAACAGGUGCUGAUUGAUAAGAUUAACUCUUUUGACUCACUUGAAGAGUCAAGCUGCCUCAACGAGGAAAAUGUGAAGGAAAGGGAAAAUUGUAGAGGGGCUCUGCUUGAUUUGAUUGUGAAAGAGCAGAAGUUGUGGAUUCAGAAGUCGAAGCUUCACUGGCUUAGAGAGGGGGAGGAGAACUCAAGCUUCUUCCAAAGAUGAGUUUUGGCUCGUAAAAGUAAAAGUAUUAUUUCUUCCUUGGUUAGUAUCGAAGGGAAGACUCUUGUCACAGAGAAAGAAAUUGUGGAUGAGAUCCUCAACUUUUUUCAAUUUUAUAUGGCACAAGGAUCUCCUCGCCGUUUAUUUGUGACGAUCUUAAUUGGAGAGGCCUUAGCUUACAGGAUUCGAAUUUACUUGAGGCUCCCUUUACCAAAAAAGAAAUUAGAGAAGCUGUCUUUAAGUUAGGUUGUCUCAAGUCCCCUGGCCCUGAUGGCAUGACUGGAGAGUUUUAUAAAAAGUCAUGGAACAUUCUGAAGUCCGACCUCGUAAGGGUGUUCCAAGAUUUUUUUAAAAACGGAGUUAUUAAUAGAAGAUGUAACGAGACUUAUAUUUGCCUCAUCCCCAAAAAGAAAGAGGCGGGUCGUGUCAGUGACUUCAGACCAAUUAGCUUGAUUACCUCCUUGUAUAAAGUUAUCUCCAAGGUGCUUGCUUCAAGGCUUAAAAAAGUUCUUCCUUCGAUAAUUAAUGACUCUCAAAUGGCUUUUGGGGAGGGAAGGCAAAUCCUUGAUGCUAUUCUAACUGCUUCCGAGGCUGUUGACGAAUGGUCUUUAAGAGGCAAAAAAGGCGUGCUUUUGAAACUCGAUCUGGAGAAAGCUUAUGAUAAGGUGGAUUGGUCUUUUCUUGAUAUGGCCAUGAAACUUAAAGGCUUUGGUAAGAGAUGGAGGAAGUGGAUUUGGGGAUGCUUGUCGACAACUAAUUUUUCCAUCAUUGUCAACAGUAGGCCUAGAGGAAAGAUUAUUGCUAAAAGGGGCAUUCGUCAAGGUGAUCCUCUUGCCCCUUUUCUUUUUACGAUAGUGGGAGAUGCUCUAAGCUGCCUUAUUCACUACUGUAAUGAGAAAAGGAGUUUAAAAGGCUUUCAUUUUGAGAACCUGUCAGAGGAUUUAACCCAUCUUCAAUAUGCAGACGACACGCUUCUUUUUUCUUCCUGGGAGGAUGGAAAUCUGGAGAAUUGGUGGAAAGUGAUUAAUCUCUUCCUUAUGGGAGCCGGUCUUUCCCUUAAUAGAGCUAAAACCUCCCUGAUCGGUAUUAACCUUAGCAAUGAUGACUUAGCUCCUUUUAGUGAAUCCACGGGAUGCUCGGUUGAUAGUCUUCCCUUUAAAUAUUUGAGCUUUUCUAUUGGAGGGGGUCAUAAUAGAAAAGAGAUGUGGAACACUCUUGAAGAGUGAUUUAGAUAUAAAUUUGAUAGGUGGAGGAAUGUAUCCCUUUCCAAAGGGGGUAGACUAACUCUGGUGCAAUCAGUUCUCAAUAGCCUCCCUUGUUAUCUUUUCUCCCUUGCUCAAGCUCCAGUUGGUUGUUUGGACAGGAGGGUCUACGAAUCCAAUUGCUCACCACGUCAAAUGGGACUGCACUUCCACCCCAACUUGUUAUGGUGGUCUUGGGAUUGGCUCUUUCAGGCAAAAGAAUAUUGUUCUUCUCACUAAAUGGUUUUGGAGGUUUAGUAAGGAAGAAACUUCAUUAUGGAGGCGUUUAAUUGUGGCCAUCUAUGGUCUAGAGGAGAAUGAGUGGUCUACCAAAGAUCCAAACAGGGGAAAAUCUUACAAAUUAUGGGCUGGUAUUUUAAAGCAUAAGGAGAUAUUCUUUAAUUUUUCUGCUUUUAUUUUGGGAGAAGGAACAAAAAUCAGAUUUUGGAAGGAUAAAUGGUGUGUCGCGGAAACACUUGCAGAAAAAUUCCCUAACUUAUUCUCUUUGGCGCUGAAUAAGGACGUUUAUGUGGCUGAAUGCUGGUGUACUGCUACUCAUUCUUGGAAUUUGGACCUUAGAAGAAAUAUGCUCGAUAACGAGAUCGCCAAUGCAACCUCAGCUUUAGAAAUUCUUCAUUCUUGGGCCCCCACUGAAAGGAAUGAUAGUCUUAAAUGGAUUCCUAACAUGAAUGGCAACUUCACUACGAAGUCUACUUUUCUUAAUUUAACUAAGAGAUCCCCCUCCAUUGCUGUUCCUUUGAUUCGUCAUAUUUGGAAGAAUAAAAUUCCGAAGAAGGUGAAGUUUUUCUUAUGGUCGCUUGCUUACAGAAGCCUCAACACCCAUGAGAAGCUACAAAAAAAAAGUUCAGAACACAUUGCUUAGCCCCUCGAUGUGUUGUCUUUGCUCUAAAGAUGAGGAAACCUUGGAUCAUCUAUUUCUACAUUGUCUCUUUACAAAAAAAACUUGGAACACUCUGUUUGGUAUUUUUGACUUGGAGCUUUGUCUUCCUAGUAAGAUUGAUAGCUGGAUGAUUGAAGGUCUCAAUAUUAGAGGUUAUAGCCCAAAAGGAAACAUCUUAUGGAAAUGUGCGACUCGCUCCCUUUUGUGGUGCAUUUAGAAAGAAAGGAAUAGCAGAAUUUUUGAAGAUAGAUUUAAUUCUUUUGAUUCUUUUUGGACUGUGGUUCAACACACAGCUUCUUGGUGGAGUACAAAUUACACCAAACACUUUUGUAAUUAUAGCCUUUCUAUGAUUUUCAACAAUUGGAAGGCCAUCAUUUCUUAGUUCCCUAGCUUAUUCCGGGGAGGGCCCUCUUGUCCCUCGCCCUUAGGCUGUUCUGUUUUGUUAUAUGAAUAUACUUGUCUCUUAUAAAAAAAACAAUGAAUUUGGUAAAACCAAAUGGCAGAUCAUGGAGAUAAGAUGUCUUUCAAUCAUCUUACGUAAGGAAGUUGAUGAAAGUAACAUUAAACACAGUCUUUGGUCAUAAAGUACCAGAAAUUUUUUAAUUUCAAUAUUACUAAAAUGUAGGGUAUUGAUUUCUUCGGUUGCUGGGGUGGAGGGGAGGCUGUCAAAAGAAUCUAAACUAGAUGAUAUCUGAAUCUUACCACGAAGCUUUCUACAUCAGACGAAGAAACUAAUUUCUUUUCUAUUACUUGAGCUUCAAGAAAUCCUGCCAAAAGUAAUCUUCUGACCAUGACAGUGGGCUGCAAAAAAUAAAAUUACAAAAAGUUAUUACAAUAUCUAUACCUGUAUCAAUACUCGAAAUAUAAAAAACUACAAGCUAUUCAGUAAUUACCUCAUCUUUCUCAAAUGCAACAGACUGUGGAGUCUUAUGAAUAAGGAUUAUCCCAUCAGGCUGCAAAACUCUUAAGAUCUCCUCGCACAACUGAUCACUUGGAAAAUCAGAUCUACAAAUAGAAAUGAUAACAUCCAUGGAUGAUGCUCCAAGUGGCAGCUUAUCUAUAUCAUAAAACAACAACUAUCAAUAACAAAAAUUAUAUCACAAUAAGAGCCUAUCAACUCCGCAUAUGCACAAUGCCAAAAAACACAUAAGGAGGAGGAGAUGAGGAGGGAAAUUAAGAGUUAAUCAUCAUCCCAUGUCGGCAAAACUAACAAAAUAAAAUGAAAAGCUGGCAUUAACAGGGAAAAGAUGCUGCAGAUAACAUUGAAAAGCCACUGGUCUGCAUGCAAGCUCUAAUAAACGGGCCAAGAAAUCUUGGCUCUGAGGACACUGACAACUGACAUUUAUAUUCAGCUAUUCUUGAUGUUUUGAACAUCUAGUGAGGCUGACACCUUGAUGCAGGACUCAAACUGAGACUUGUGGCUUUCUUGAACCAUAAAAUGCUUACUCCUUUGCGAAAAUUCCCCGAGAAUUAAAAUCUCUAUGCCUCAUCUAAUAAUUAGAAAAAUAAUAGUCAUUUGCUUAAUUCUAAAAAAUUAUUUAAGUUUGAGUUGUGACGAAUUAUUCCGUGACUUCAAAAACAUCGAAGGCAAAAAUUUAUAGUACAAAUCUGUCCUAUUAAUGAUAAUACAAAGAUACCCAUUAAGAAUUUUUGGUUAUGUGAAAAUUGCCGGGGUGAAUUUUUUUUCUUUUUCCAAACUCUCAUAUGAGAUAUGACUAUCAUGUUAAGCAAUACAUUGUCAAACCAAUCUAGGAUUUGUAAAAUGUUUUGAAGUCACUAUUUGAGGCUUACGCCUCAAACCACCUCGAGGCUUACUCUGUGACACCAAUUUACACCUUCAGCUUUCGAAAUGAAAGACAAAAUGCACAAGUCCGUUGAACUAGAUAUCAAAGAGUUGAUUGCAGUGUUGAAUAGAACAGGCCCUGAGAAGUCAUAAAAAAC
This 8886-nucleotide long non-coding RNA is filed under the name Cucumis sativus (cucumber). RNAcentral's name for it is "long non-coding RNA (CSAT_LNC001190)". The record is from RNAcentral. Lineage: Eukaryota; Viridiplantae; Streptophyta; Magnoliopsida; Cucurbitales; Cucurbitaceae.